Penaeus vannamei (Pacific white shrimp) is the source of this 198-nucleotide non-coding RNA. The record is from RefSeq and is a predicted model, not a curated record. Lineage: Eukaryota; Metazoa; Arthropoda; Malacostraca; Decapoda; Penaeidae.
AGAAUGUCGUAUCUCGGGCUGUGUCUGCUGCUGCUGUCAUCAACAACGGCGAUGGCGUUUUACAAGGAAGUUGAUGCUUCUUCAGUGACGUCACCCGUGCCUUGUGGGUCGUGGGUCUGGAUUCCCACGGGGGGGAGCGUCACCUUCACCUCGCCUAAUUACCCCGGCGACUACACCUGGUCGUUGUGUUACUGGAAG